UGCGCAGCGCAUGGCGCAGCACGAUCUGCGAAAAGGCCACGCCUUUCAGGCGGGCGGUACGGAUAUAUUGCGCGGUCAUCACCUCGGUCAUGCUGGCGCGUGUCAUUCGCGCAAUGUACCCCAUGCCGUAAAGCGCGAUGGUCAGGACCGGCAGAAAGAAAUUCUCGAAAUUGGCAUCA
This 179-nucleotide non-coding RNA is filed under the name Yoonia vestfoldensis SKA53. Its description in RNAcentral is "Loktanella vestfoldensis SKA53 Ruegeria cis52 sRNA". It matches the Rfam family "Ruegeria cis52 sRNA". From Rfam's summary of the family: Cis-encoded. Targets oligo/dipeptide ABC transporter. Lineage: Bacteria; Pseudomonadati; Pseudomonadota; Alphaproteobacteria; Rhodobacterales; Paracoccaceae. The record is from Rfam by way of RNAcentral.